This 366-nucleotide long non-coding RNA is filed under the name Gallus gallus (chicken). The record is from RNAcentral. Lineage: Eukaryota; Metazoa; Chordata; Aves; Galliformes; Phasianidae.
UCCAGCUCCCGCAAGGUCUGCAAUUGCUCCAGGUUCUCAAUGCGCUUCACCAAGUUCUGACGCAGACACAGAGUCUUCACUUUCUUGAGCACCUCAAACCCUUCAAUCUUUCCAAUUCGGAAAUGAUUCAGGUCAACAUCCUCAGCUUCUGGGUCCAGGCUAAUUGUUUCCAUGUCCACUGGUGUCUCUGCUUCUCCAUUCUGCUCAUCUCUCAGGCUCUGCUGGCUGAGGUCUGUUACUAAGCGCACCGCUUGCUUCUUCCCUUCAUCUUCCGACUCCUCCGAUUCGAUCCGCUUAUCGACCUCCAUCAUCUCCGUGCGCCCCUCUCCGCUCCCCGCCGCCAUAUUGCUUCUCCUCCCACCCCCC